Egretta garzetta (little egret) is the source of this 523-nucleotide long non-coding RNA. RefSeq lists it as uncharacterized. The transcript is spliced from 3 exons. The record is from RefSeq and is a predicted model, not a curated record. Lineage: Eukaryota; Metazoa; Chordata; Aves; Pelecaniformes; Ardeidae.
GGGGAAAGGAGCAUUUAUUCCCAGUGGGUAAAGAGAGGAAGGCUGAAAUUAAGGAUUUUCUCCAGUGAUAGCACUCCCCAGGUGGCAAACCCCACCUCUGAGUUUCCAGUAAACCUACUAGAACUACAAAGCAAACAAAUCAAGAAAUGUCAAGGGAUUCAAGCCGGGUACGCUAUGUUGCACCAUUUCGGCAUUGCUAACAGAAGGGCUGAGGCUGCAGCUAUCACGUCACGUUUUCGGCAGAAACCUCUAAGUCUCGGCGACUUCCUCCGAGGACGCUGAACCAAACACCGUCCAGACCCGCGAGUGAACGAGUUGCAAAUGACAUCGCCGGUUCGAAAGGGCGCGUGGGCACAGCGUGGGCGAAUGUUCCCUGCGCUGGGUGUUUUCUAAAGUCUCGAUUGCUCCUGGACCAUCUCUUUGUCUGCUGAGUAUCAUCUCUGGUAUUUGUUUAACCAGCCAUGCCCUGCCAGGUGAGAGCCGCCAUCCUCUGACUGAUGGGUGUGAGUUCUCCCCCUGCUCC